AGGUUUCGCCGGAAACGGCAUCCCUUCAAAACUUAAGGCCGGGCAAUUGUCCGGCCUCUUUUCUUUUCAGGG
Molecule: small RNA, 72 nt
Filed under: Phyllobacterium brassicacearum
Lineage: Bacteria; Pseudomonadati; Pseudomonadota; Alphaproteobacteria; Hyphomicrobiales; Phyllobacteriaceae
Description: suhB
Source: RNAcentral